CACGUAGGGGGCAAGCGUUGUCCGGAAUCAUUGGGCGUAAAGAGCUCGUAGGCGGCUCAAUAAGUCGGGUGUGAAACCCCCAGGCUCAACCUGGGGACGCCACCCGAUACUGUUGUGGCUAGAGUCCAGUAGGGGAGUGUGGAAUUCCCGGUGUAGCGGUGAAAUGCGCAGAUAUCGGGAGGAACACCGGUGGCGAAGGCGGCGACCUGGGUCGAGACUGACGCUGAGGCGCGAAAGCGUGGGGAGCAAACAGG
RNAcentral lists this ribosomal RNA (254 nucleotides) under uncultured bacterium. RNAcentral's name for it is "partial 16S ribosomal RNA". It matches the Rfam family "Bacterial small subunit ribosomal RNA", at positions 524 to 776 of the family's 1533-position model. The record is from RNAcentral.